Molecule: long non-coding RNA, 584 nt
Organism: Canis lupus familiaris (dog)
Lineage: Eukaryota; Metazoa; Chordata; Mammalia; Carnivora; Canidae
Exons: 4
Source: RefSeq, a predicted model, not a curated record
UUAGUGAUAUAUAAAAUUAGCCUGCAGCAUACUGAAGUGCCAGAAAGUAAGGAAGUGCAUCCCAAUAAUCCACAAUAAUGUCAAAAGGACAGAGCACCUGAAUGAAAGUGCCAAAUGGCCAAAACUGGAACCAUUUGAGCAAAGGGAAAUAAGUGCCUUUCCUGACAAUGAAGAAUCUCUAUGUGCCUGCAGCAGAUGACCACAGGCCAUGACUUGCCAGUCUCCUGGGUCCCUGUCCAUCUCGGACAAACCCUCAUGCCAACUUUAAGGAAGCAGCCUCCCAUGACCAAGACUUUGUAAAACCCAGAGGGCAGGAAAGCCCACUGAUGCAAUCCACUCUGGCAGUGUUCUUGGGGCCAGAAUAGUGACAAAAGCUGAUCUGAAGACCAAACAGAAGACAUGAAACUGCAAAACACACUCCUGGUGUGAUUUCAUCCAUUCUUGUAAUUUGGACUACAACCGAUAUGCAGAUGACCCUACUCCAUUAACUGCACAUCAGUGGUUCCCAAAGCUGACUGCAUCUUAUGAUCACUUGGGAGUUCUUUUUUUUAUUAUUAUUAAAAAUAAAAAUAAUGCCACACACA